Molecule: transfer RNA, 73 nt
Filed under: Vicugna pacos (alpaca)
Lineage: Eukaryota; Metazoa; Chordata; Mammalia; Artiodactyla; Camelidae
Description: tRNA-Ala (AGC) (tRNA-Ala-AGC-712-1)
Rfam family: tRNA
About the family: Transfer RNA (tRNA) molecules are approximately 80 nucleotides in length. Their secondary structure includes four short double-helical elements and three loops (D, anti-codon, and T loops).
Source: RNAcentral
GGAGGGUAUAGCUCAGUGGCAGAGCCCAUGCUUAGCAUGCAUGAGGUCCUGGGUUCAAUCCCCAGUACCUCCA